RNAcentral lists this ribosomal RNA (469 nucleotides) under uncultured bacterium. RNAcentral's name for it is "bacterial SSU rRNA". It matches the Rfam family "Bacterial small subunit ribosomal RNA", at positions 8 to 525 of the family's 1533-position model. The record is from RNAcentral.
AGAGUUUGAUCCUGGCUCAGAACGAACGCUGGCGGCAGGCUUAACACAUGCAAGUCGAGCGCCCCGCAAGGGGAGCGGCAGACGGGUGAGUAACGCGUGGGAAUCUACCUUUUGCUACGGAAUAACUCGGGGAAACUUGUGCUAAUACCGUAUGUGCCCUUCGGGGGAAAGAUUUGUCGGCAAAGGAUGAGCCCGCGUUGGAUUAGCUAGUUGGUGGGGUAAAGGCCUACCAAGGCGACGAUCCAUAGCUGGUCUGAGAGGAUGAUCAGCCACACUGGGACUGAGACACGGCCCAGACUCCUACGGGAGGCAGCAGUGGGGAAUAUUGGACAAUGGGCGCAAGCCUGAUCCAGCCAUGCCGCGUGAGUGAUGACGGUCUUAGGAUUGUAAAGCUCUUUCACCGGUGAAGAUAAUGACGGUAACCGGAGAAGAAGCCCCGGCUAACUUCGUGCCAGCAGCCGCGGUAAUA